This 76-nucleotide small RNA is filed under the name Flavobacterium lacus. RNAcentral's name for it is "Flavo-1 RNA". It matches the Rfam family "Flavo-1 RNA". The record is from RNAcentral. Lineage: Bacteria; Pseudomonadati; Bacteroidota; Flavobacteriia; Flavobacteriales; Flavobacteriaceae.
UUUGCGUUAGGGAUGGGAGCGGCAUCCUUUUGUGGAGUUUACGGAACAAAAGAUAUAGCGGACAGCCCGACCCUUG